UUAAUGGAGAGUUUGAUCCUGGCUCAGGACGAACGCUGGCGGCGUGCCUAAUACAUGCAAGUCGAGCGAGGUUAUUUAGAAGCUUGCUUCUAAAUAACCUAGCGGCGGACGGGUGAGUAACACGUAGGCAACCUGCCCACAAGACAGGGAUAACUACCGGAAACGGUAGCUAAUACCCGAUACAUCCUUUUCCUGCAUGGGCGAAGGAGGAAAGACGGAGCAAUCUGUCACUUGUGGAUGGGCCUGCGGCGCAUUAGCUAGUUGGUGGGGUAAAGGCCUACCAAGGCGACGA
This 292-nucleotide ribosomal RNA is filed under the name Paenibacillus polymyxa. RNAcentral describes it as "partial 16S ribosomal RNA". It matches the Rfam family "Bacterial small subunit ribosomal RNA", at positions 1 to 279 of the family's 1533-position model. Lineage: Bacteria; Bacillati; Bacillota; Bacilli; Caryophanales; Paenibacillaceae. The record is from RNAcentral.